GCCGCGAUAGCUCAGUUGGUAGAGCACGUCCAUGGUAAGGACGGGGUCACGAGUUCAAGUCUCGUUCGCGGCUCCA
RNAcentral lists this transfer RNA (76 nucleotides) under Candidatus Saccharimonadota bacterium. Its description in RNAcentral is "tRNA-Thr". It matches the Rfam family "tRNA". Rfam says of the family: Transfer RNA (tRNA) molecules are approximately 80 nucleotides in length. Their secondary structure includes four short double-helical elements and three loops (D, anti-codon, and T loops). Lineage: Bacteria; Candidatus Saccharimonadota. The record is from RNAcentral.